GCCCUGAUGGGGGCACCAAACCCGAAUGGCCCCAGACGACUCUGCAGCCACGGACGAAAAAGAUGGGUCGAUACGAUAGCAAUCGGGUACCUCCGAACGACACAAAGGCCGAAAAGAAGCUCAGCAAACGAUAAUUCAACACAUGAGUAAAAGAGGUAGUGAAAAAUUACCUUCUCGUAUGCAUUAUAGAGCCAUUGAGGUUGAAGGAAAGGGAUAACUAAAAGGCGAGCCGGCAUGGCAACCACCGAUAACC
RNAcentral lists this long non-coding RNA (253 nucleotides) under Elaeis guineensis (African oil palm). Its description in RNAcentral is "long non-coding RNA (EGUI_LNC079142)". The record is from RNAcentral. Lineage: Eukaryota; Viridiplantae; Streptophyta; Magnoliopsida; Arecales; Arecaceae.